This 429-nucleotide ribosomal RNA is filed under the name Chloroflexota bacterium. RNAcentral's name for it is "Chloroflexi bacterium partial 16S ribosomal RNA". It matches the Rfam family "Bacterial small subunit ribosomal RNA", at positions 355 to 776 of the family's 1533-position model. The record is from RNAcentral. Lineage: Bacteria; Bacillati; Chloroflexota.
UGGGGAAUAUUGCACAAUGGGCGCAAGCCUGAUGCAGCCAUGCCGCGUGUAUGAAGAAGGCCUUCGGGUUGUAAAGUACUUUCAGUCGGGAGGAAGGUGUCAAGGUUAAUAACCUUGGCAAUUGACGUUACCGACAGAAGAAGCACCGGCUAACUCCGUGCCAGCAGCCGCGGUAAUACGGAGGGUGCAAGCGUUAAUCGGAAUUACUGGGCGUAAAGCGCACGCAGGCGGUCUGUCAAGUCGGAUGUGAAAUCCCCGGGCUUAACCUGGGAACUGCAUUCGAAACUGGCAGGCUAGAGUCUUGUAGAGGGGGGUAGAAUUCCAGGAGUAGCGGUGAAAUGCGUAGAGAUCUGGAGGAAUACCGGUGGCGAAGGCGGCCCCCUGGACAAAGACUGACGCUCAGGUGCGAAAGCGUGGGGAGCAAACAGG